RNAcentral lists this ribosomal RNA (253 nucleotides) under Neritidae environmental sample. RNAcentral's name for it is "partial 18S ribosomal RNA". It matches the Rfam family "Eukaryotic small subunit ribosomal RNA", at positions 433 to 693 of the family's 1831-position model. Lineage: Eukaryota; Metazoa; Mollusca; Gastropoda; Cycloneritida; Neritidae. The record is from RNAcentral.
UGCGACAGUCAUCCGGAACGGAAGGUAUGACGAAAAAUAACAUACGGGACUCUUUCGAGGCCUCGUAAUUGGAAUGAGUACACUUCAAACCCUUUAACGAGGAUCUAUUGGAGGGCAAGUCUGGUGCCAGCAGCCGCGGUAAUUCCAGCUCCAAUAGCGUAUAUUAAAGUUGUUGCAGUUAAAAAGCUCGUAGUUGGAUCUCGGGUUUGGGCGGGCGGUCCGCCUCGCGGCGGUUACUGCACGACCCGACCUA